CGUAUAUUAAAGUUGUUGCGGUAAAAAAGCUCGUAGUUGGAUUUCUGUUGAGAGCGACCGGUCCAUACCAUGUAUGCGUAUCUGGCUUGCUCUCGGCAUCCUCUCGAUAGACGUUGCUGCGCUUGAUUGCGUGGCGCGGAUCUCGGGACUUUUACUUUGAGGAAAUUAGAGUGUUCACGGCAGGCUUUCGCCAGAAUACAUUAGCAUGGAAUAAUACUAUAGGAUCUUGGUUCUAUUUUGUUGGUUUCUAGAAUUGAGAUAAUGAUUAAUAGGGACAAUUGGGGGCAUUCGUAUCAACACGUCAGAGGUGGAAUUCUUGGAUUGUGUUGCGACGAACUACUGCGAAAGCAUUUGCCAAGGAUGUUUUCAUUGAUCAAGAACGAAAGUAAGGGGAUCGAAGACGAUUAGAUACCGUCGUAGUCUUUACCAUAAACUAUGCCGACUAGAGAUGGGGCAUCGUUCAUUUACGACUUGCUCCGCACCUUAUGAGAUAUCAAAGUUUUUGGGUUCCGGGGGGAGUAUGGUCGCAAGACUGAAACUUAAAGGAA
This 548-nucleotide ribosomal RNA is filed under the name uncultured marine picoplankton. RNAcentral's name for it is "SSU rRNA". It matches the Rfam family "Eukaryotic small subunit ribosomal RNA", at positions 598 to 1152 of the family's 1831-position model. The record is from RNAcentral.